RNAcentral lists this long non-coding RNA (263 nucleotides) under Vigna radiata. Its description in RNAcentral is "long non-coding RNA (VRAD_LNC015027)". The record is from RNAcentral. Lineage: Eukaryota; Viridiplantae; Streptophyta; Magnoliopsida; Fabales; Fabaceae.
AGCGAUUAGAGGGAAUCCGCUCAGCGGCAAAACUAACUAAGGGAUUGGGUUAAGGGUAGACUAGAAAGUUUGCAUGACAAUUGGAUAAAUAAGUGUGGAUAAGAUGAAAUUGUAAACCCCAACAACAUCAUUCAUCCAUAGUUCUUCAAAGCCAAUUGAAUCAACUGCAUUUGCAUGUUUAUUUUUGUUCUUUGCAUAUAACCACCAACUUAAUUCUUCUCUCAAGUCUUACGCGAUUUGUUUACAUGAAAAGUAAGGCCUAA